Molecule: ribosomal RNA, 100 nt
Filed under: uncultured bacterium
Lineage: Bacteria
Description: partial 16S ribosomal RNA
Rfam family: Bacterial small subunit ribosomal RNA
Source: RNAcentral
AAGGUCUUAUGGAUUGUAAACUUCUUUUGUAAGGGAAGAAAACGGUAUCUAGUAUAUCAACUGACGGUACCUUACGAAUAAGCAUCGGCUAACUCCGUGC